AGAGCACAGGGUGGAUGCCAAGGCACCAUACGACCGAAGAAGGACGUGGCAAGCUGCGAAAAAGCUACGAGGAGCCGCAAGCAGGCAGAGAUUCGUAGAUAUCCGAAUGGGGAAACCCGGCUGGAGUAAUGUCCAGUCAUCAUGAGAUGAAUACAUAGUCUCAUAGAAGGGCACCCGGGGAACUGAAACAUCUAAGUACCCGGAGGAAAAGAAAGAAACAUCGAUUUCCUGAGUAGCGGCGAGCGAAAGGGAAAGAGGCCAAACCAGGGAGCAUGCUCUCUGGGGUUGUGGGUCGGCAAUAAGGCAUUGAGGUAAGGUAGUAGAAGCGCGUUGGAAAGCGCCUCCAAAGAGGGUGAAAGACCCGUAAACGAAACCUGAAGACAGCCAGCCGAUACCAGAGUACCGCAGGACACGAGAAAUCCGGUGGGAAGCAGGAGGGACCACCCUCCAAGCCUAAAUACGAUAUGGUGACCGAUAGCGCAUAGUACCGUGAGGGAAAGGUG
RNAcentral lists this ribosomal RNA (503 nucleotides) under uncultured bacterium. RNAcentral's name for it is "bacterial LSU rRNA". It matches the Rfam family "Bacterial large subunit ribosomal RNA", at positions 14 to 516 of the family's 2925-position model. The record is from RNAcentral.